This 274-nucleotide ribosomal RNA is filed under the name uncultured bacterium. RNAcentral describes it as "partial 16S ribosomal RNA". It matches the Rfam family "Bacterial small subunit ribosomal RNA", at positions 523 to 796 of the family's 1533-position model. The record is from RNAcentral.
AUACGAAGGGGGCUAGCGUUGUUCGGAAUUACUGGGCGUAAAGCGCGCGUAGGCGGAUUGGUCAGUUAGGGGAGAAAUCCCAGGGCUUAACCCUGGAACUGCCUCUAAUACUGCCAGUCUUGAGUUCGGGAGAGGUGAGUGGAAUUCCUAGUGUAGAGGUGAAAUUCGUAGAUAUUAGGAAGAACACCAGUGGCGAAGGCGGCUCACUGGCCCGAUACUGACGCUGAGGCGCGAAAGCGUGGGGAGCAAACAGGAUUAGAAACCCUAGUAGUCC